GUACUGCUGAAGAGUCCCAAACUAGGACGAAACAGCUGUGAAAUAU
RNAcentral lists this non-coding RNA (46 nucleotides) under Trichobilharzia regenti. The record is from RNAcentral. Lineage: Eukaryota; Metazoa; Platyhelminthes; Trematoda; Strigeidida; Schistosomatidae.